AUGUUAGCAAUGGGUAUAAGGGUAUCCAGUGCCCAGCCUUUAUAUUUUUAUCAGGUGUAUUCACCACUAUGCAUGUGUAUAUGUUGUUGGCCUAACUGUAUACAUUUUGUUGGUGUGAUGAUUCAUCCUCUAAAAAUUUAUAUUGUAUCCUCUUGUGCUAGAUGUUUGAGGUUUGGCUUUAAAAAUAAGCUAUUUCUAACGGAAGGUCAAUGGGAGAAAAAGGCAGUGUAUACAUUUUAUUUGGUGCUUAUCUGUGACCUUGCGCACUUAUCUUUAUAUAUGCUCUUCUUCAUAGAUAUCUUCCUGUCGGUUCUCUUAUGA
Molecule: ribosomal RNA, 321 nt
Filed under: Triticum aestivum (bread wheat)
Lineage: Eukaryota; Viridiplantae; Streptophyta; Magnoliopsida; Poales; Poaceae
Description: partial small subunit ribosomal RNA
Source: RNAcentral